AGUGAACGCUGGCGGUAGGCCUAACACAUGCAGGUCGAACGGCAGCACAGUAAGAGCUUGCUCUUACGGGUGGCGAGUGGCGGACGGGUGAGGAAUACAUCGGAAUCUACUUUUUCGUGGGGGAUAACGUAGGGAAACUUACGCUAAUACCGCAUACGACCUACGGGUGAAAGCAGGGGAUCUUCGGACCUUGCGCGAUUGAAUGAGCCGAUGUCGGAUUAGCUAGUUGGCGGGGUAAAGGCCCACCAAGGUGACGAUCCGUAGCUGGUCUGAGAGGAUGAUCAGCCACACUGGAACUGAGACACGGUCCAGACUCCUACGGGAGGCAGCAGUGGGGAAUAUUGGACAAUGGGCGCAAGCCUGAUCCAGCCAUACCGCGUGGGUGAAGAAGGCCUUCGGGUUGUAAAGCCCUUUUGUUGGGAAAGAAAAGCAGCAGGUUAAUACCCCGCUGUUCUGACGGUACCCAAAGAAUAAGCACCGGCUAACUUCGUG
This 492-nucleotide ribosomal RNA is filed under the name uncultured bacterium. Its description in RNAcentral is "partial 16S ribosomal RNA". It matches the Rfam family "Bacterial small subunit ribosomal RNA", at positions 29 to 507 of the family's 1533-position model. The record is from RNAcentral.